GACGAACGCUGGCGGCGUGCUUAACACAUGCAAGUCGAACGGAAAGGCCCUGCUUUUGUGGGGUGCUCGAGUGGCGAACGGGUGAGUAACACGUGAGUAACCUGCCCUUGACUUUGGGAUAACUUCAGGAAACUGGGGCUAAUACCGGAUAGGAGCUCCUGCUGCAUGGUGGGGGUUGGAAAGUUUCGGCGGUUGGGGAUGGACUCGCGGCUCAUCAGCUUGUUGGUGGGGUAGUGGCUUACCAAGGCUUUGACGGGUAGCCGGCCUGAGAGGGUGACCGGCGACAUUGGGACUGAGAUACGGCGCAGACUCCUACGGUAGGCAGCAGUGGGGAAUAUGGCACAAUGGGCGGAAGCGUGAUGCAGCAACGCCGCGUGCGGGAUGACGGCCUUGGUGUUGUGAACCGCAUUCGCCUGUGACGAAGCGGGAGUGACGGUAAUGGGUAAAGAAGCACCGGCUAACUACGUG
RNAcentral lists this ribosomal RNA (468 nucleotides) under uncultured bacterium. RNAcentral's name for it is "partial 16S ribosomal RNA". It matches the Rfam family "Bacterial small subunit ribosomal RNA", at positions 28 to 507 of the family's 1533-position model. The record is from RNAcentral.